This 359-nucleotide long non-coding RNA is filed under the name Lynx canadensis (Canada lynx). RNAcentral describes it as "lncRNA (ENSLCNG00005018116.1)". Lineage: Eukaryota; Metazoa; Chordata; Mammalia; Carnivora; Felidae. The record is from RNAcentral.
AGCGUCUGGAAAGGUGCAGGAUCUGCUAAACCGUGCAUCGCACAGCAGCGGCCGGAGCAGACGCGGGAUGGUCGCGUGUCCCCAGCAGAACAGAGGGGGGCAGCCAGAGAGCCUGGGAAAGUUUUUGGAGCCGUGAGGGAUACAGCAGUUUGGUCAAUAUUGUUUUAACAUGCUUCAAAUAAAUCAGGAUGAGUCACUUCCAAUAGCAGGGCAUAGGGGAAGGGAAGCCAGCAAAGAGACAUAGACACUGUGUCCAAGUCAUUUCUGGGACCAGGGAUGGAAACGGAUUCUUCUGUGGAGAGACUUGCCUUGGCAGGUGAGGUAGACCAAGACUUUAUUAGCAACAGCUCUGGCUGCAA